This 11486-nucleotide long non-coding RNA is filed under the name Lactuca sativa (garden lettuce). RNAcentral describes it as "long non-coding RNA (LSAT_LNC007443)". The record is from RNAcentral. Lineage: Eukaryota; Viridiplantae; Streptophyta; Magnoliopsida; Asterales; Asteraceae.
GGCGACCCAUUCCGGCCGACGAUUUGGUUAAACGGAGAAUCACGCGGUUCAUUUCCUGGCCAUAAUGAAGCCCCAAAUUGAAAAUCAUAGUCACCGGCCGCCUGACCGGAGAGCGUACUUGGCCCGGAGCUACAUCCUUCACCAUAAGGUCCGUUGCUAAAUUCGCCGCUAAAUUCUCUUAGUAUAAAGUUGUUCCUUACAUUCGGAGAAAACAAUUGCAUCGAAGAAUGAACUUCCGAUUGAUUGUUGUUCUCGAAUUCAUAAGGUAAAGUCAGCUGCAUUUGCGGGAGAUCUGUAAAACUGGAUGUUAGGAUCGCCGGUCCAAAAACCGAAACAUCCUCAAUCGGUAACAUCCGAUCCAAACUCUUAUGAAAUUGCUGCUUUAAUGAUUCCACUAGAGACUGCAUCGAACGGAUAAUUCUGUUUCAGUUUUGUUUCUAUAAGAAAGUUUCCGGGAGGAAUUAGAAAUUUAGAAUACAAACCAUUUGAAUUCCGGCGAGUUUUUCGAGGGGGAGAUAGUUUUGGCCGUCGAAGGUUGCUCCGACCACCGUGAAAACGGAAUUGAACAAAAGUCCGAUCCCAUCUACCUCAUACAUAUAAAGCUUAUCGUCUAGAACACAAGCUUUAGCAUGCUUGAUAAUCGUUUCCCAUGUCUUGUUACAUGAUCCACCAAGUAUCUGUAUAAUCGGAUCCAGAUAAUUUAGCGAAUUGCAUCGAUAAUAAACCUCUCAUGAAAUUAAUUAUCAACAUUCUCUUACCUUGCGUAACGAGGAUUCAUUAGCAACAUACAUUUGUAAAAAAUCCUUCACUGUUCGUAUUCUAUUCACCCCUAAUCGCUUAUGAAAAGCUCCAUCUUUUGCUAUUUUCUCCAAUCUCCAUACAUCAUCACUCAAACAUGGAGGAUGGUGUUUCUUGUAUGCUGAAUCAAUAAAAAAAAAGCUAUUAGCUAUAAAGUCUUAAUCGAUUAAGAUCAUGAAAAGACAAUAAACUUACAUUCUCCACGAUGAUCUUUCACUACAAAAGCAUCACUUCUCGCUUCUCUGAUUCUAACUCCGGAAUUAGCUACUGCACCUAUCCGGAAUGUCCGAUUCCUUCUCCAACUGGAAUUAUCAGUGAAAUAAACUUCACCAAGAUCCCCAAUUCCAUCUUUCAAAACCACCACCAAAUCUCCGGCGACUAGCGGCCGUUUUCCAUCUCUUGCUUGUAUAAUUUUGGCCUCAAAAUCCUUUUGAGACCAAUCUUCUUCUUCAUCGUAACAAAAAUCGCCAUCAAGUGGAACGAUUUGGAUCUUUAAUGAAGAAUAAGGUCCAGAUGUUACAAUUUUAUUGGAAUCGGUGUCAAAUAGGACUAAUCUGACAGGAGAAUUAUCCUCCGAUUCCACCCUGCUACCCGUGAACAACAUUUGAGGCAACUUCGUUUGGAAACGAAGUUGCAGCGAUGAUGACUCACAUCGUUCAAACGCGUUAAAUGGUGAUCUGUCAUAAAGAUCAAAAAUGACAGAAUCAGAAUCAGACUUUAAUAACAUAACUUUAAAGAUAAUAACAUGAACUAGCUAUUGAUUGACGAUAGGUGUUCGUUGUUUCUGAUUUUUUAGUGGGUCCCAUGUUUUUUUUUUUUUUUAAUUUAAAUUUAUUGUACUAUUCGAUAACAUAAUUUUAAAGAUAUUAUAUAACCUUGGUGAUGAACAACAAAAGCUGUGACAUGCACGUUGCACCUCUUCUCGGACCUGUUAAACCCCAAGAACACAAUCAAGAACAUAUAAGAUUCAAAAUCCUAUAAAAGUUACAAAAUGGGUUCUCGAAAAGGUGAAAUUAUGAUUAAUCGAAUGAAUAAGAGAGAAAAAAAAAAGUGGUAUUUACCCAUCCUCGAAUGAAUGGUUCCAAUGAUGAUGCAAAUUCUUGUGAUGAAAUUCCUUGCAUUACAUUUCUAACAAAACUAUAAAGAAAACAAAAUUCGAUGUCAAAAAAUAUAUAUAAUUAGAAAUACAUGAUUUGAUUUAUAAUAAGUUGAAAAUAGAAUAAAAGAAUUGAUCACAAACUUUGAGGAGGCGAAUCUUUGUUUGGCUUGAUGAUUAGCUUCAUAAUCAUCCUCUUCCCGUUGGCCAGAAGGUCGUUUUAGUACCAUCAAACACACAAUAGAUAAUUGAAUAAUUACAGUUUAUGAUGUAGAGAUCAGAUCCAAACAGCAAAACUAACAACCUAUUUAAAGAAAAUGUGAGAGGCAACUUCUUUGAAGCUUCCAAGUCAACUAAAAAUUAUAUAAAAUAAUCAAGAACAGUACAAGGACUACGUGGACCACAGUGUGUGUGAAGGCGUAGGUGUGGGUGUGGGUGUGGGUUUCUUGUAUAAUUAAUUAAUAUGCUUUUUGGGUAUCAUAUUAGUCCAAAGUGCAUUAGAUACACCAACAGAAUCUUUUUCUAGAAAUAUAUAUAUUUAUUUCAUGUUUUUUUCCAAGAAGAUUGCUUGGGGCUUACUUCUUUUGCCAAUAAUAAAUGAAUAAAUUCUCUAUCGAAGACAAGUAUGAAGUACCCCACAAAUAUUAAAACAUAACCGCGUAUAUUUGGGAAAGUAACGUCUUUUUUCUAAACAAUCUUUUCAUGUUGUCUGCCUGAUAAAGACUAAAGAUUGCAUGGUUUGUAACAUAGAUCAGUAAAAAUGUUUUAGUUGUUUUAGCUAAUAAAUGCAAAAAAACAAUAGCAAUUUAUUUUCAUUAAUUUGUUUAUUAUAGCAUUUGUAUUCAUUUCUUUCGAUUGUAGUGCUUUAAAAAGUUUAUCUAGUUAUAAAGAUGAGAUAUUGAUUAAAAUAACCACUAUAAAUGAGGUAAUUAACAAAAAAAGAACAAAAAAAAACCACAUUUAUCUCGAUUUUUAAAAAUAAUCAACUUGUUUGAAAAAGGAUAUUCCAGAGGAAUAAUAUUUGUUCCAGAGUUGGUGAGAUUUGGCGUAAAGGUACUCCGAAAUCUAACAUGUUUGAAAUUAGAUUUGUCAUGUUCCAGAUUGUUUUGGGCUAUUCAUGUGUUGACAUAAAACUAUUUUAGACCGGUCCUGAACAACUCAUUCGAGACUUAUUUAGGUGUUGUUUGUUAUUUCUGAGCCAAAAUAUAUGCAAUAUGCGGACCACAUCUGUAGACUCUGCAACAGAAGAGAUGAACUAAACGUUUGCAGUCUGAAAAAAGAAGACGGUUUAUUUUUUUAACAUUUGCGGACUAUUAAAAUAAGCUAAAAUCUAAAUAAACUGAUUAUUCUAACUACAAAGUGAUUUUUUUAAUAUUUUUAUGAUUUUAUUAUAAAUAAUUAACAAAUCUAGAUUAGCUUUUAUGUAUUAUUGUAUAAAAGGUGAAAAUAAAAAUGAUACAAAUUAACGUAUAUAUUUGAUAAAAACCAACAAUUUUUGUCGUAAAGUUAUAUCUAAACAUUGUAAUUAUGAAUCAAAGAAUUUGAUACAUAAAUGAUGGAAAUAAACUUCGAUUUUUCAAUUAAAUCAAUUAAAAUCAUACCAUAAAUAUUUUUCUAAGAAAUUGACGAUACUGUAUUACAUAAUGUUUUAUAAAAUUUGGCACAAAAAAUAUAAAAAUAUAUUGUGAUUUUUUUUUCAUAUUUAUAUAAACAACUUCAAUGACCAUUAUCGUAAUAAAUUUUUAUUUAUAAAUUUGUCAAAAAUAUCAUGUUUGUGUCGCCAAACUUUUUUUUAAGUAUUGUAACUUUUUUUUUCAUAUUGUUUAUCACUAAUAAAGUUGGAAUAAAUAUAAAUUCAAAAAAAACAAAAAAAAUAAAGAUAUAUUUGUUUUUUUAGACUAGAAGAUGUUAAAAGAGUCUGAUCUAUAUCUGCACCAAAAGAGAGCGCAUAGACAUUUUUAGGUAUGUAGUCUUCAAAAAGACAAACAGUCUGCAAAGGCUAAGACCAUCUCCAACCCACUCCCAUUUUUUCCCCAAAAAAUGGAAUAAAAAAUGGGGUAAAUAGUGUUUCAUUUCCAACCCUAUUUCAUUUUUUACUCCAUUUUUAACCCCCAAAAGUAUAUUCCAAGUAUAUUAUAUUAUUUCAACUUAGAUAAAUUGCCGAACACAACCCUCUACUAAUUUAGUUUUAACAAAUAAAAAUAAAUUUUAUAUUUUUGAUUAAUUAAUAUAAUUUAUUAUAUUUCAUAAUAUUAUAAAUAUUAAACAUUAUAUUUAAAUUAAUUCUAAUAGAUAAAAAUAAAAUAUAAAUGUAUAAAUAUAUAAAAUUAGGGACUAAACCCGACAACUGAAACUUCAUCCCCAUAUUUGGAGAUAUGAAUAGUAUCACCCCAUAUAUNNNNNNNNNNNNNNNNNNNNNNNNAUACUAUUCAUAUCUCCAAAUAUGGGGGGAAAUGGGGUAGGGUUGGAGAAGAAUGAGAGAGAAAAUGGAGGAAAAAAUGGCAUUUGGAGGUGGGUUGGAGAUGCUCUAAUGUCUGCGCGCGUGGUCUACGCUAUGCAAACAGAAGAGACUAAGAAGAUCUGCGGACAAAAAACAAACACCACCUUAAUGUUGAUUUUAUUUUCAUUAGCAACACCAUCCCUUCUCAAGAAAAUUUUGGCAACCUUAUUUGGAAUAUGUUUGGAUACAUCGCCUGUUCAUCAAAAUCGCAACACAUAAUGGUCUUAUAUUGUAUUUUACUUCAUUAUUGGUAUGUUUUUUGGAGUUUUAUCAAUAUGAGCCUGAACAAAACAUCCUACACAUUGUUUUGGAAUAGUUCGUCGUAUUUUGGACGUGUUCGUUGUAAUCUAGACCAUAAGACGUGUUCCGGAUUGAUGUGUGUGUGCCCACAAGACAAUUUUUCUGAGUACCAUACUCAGAAUUAGCAUAUAUUUGUGGUUUCUUUUUGUUUUAAAGCAGACUAGAAAUACUUAAAGAGCGAUCUAGAAAGAUCGUCGGUUAACAAGAAGGAAACCAAAGAAGUCCUCAUGUCAAAAGUUGUUUUUUUUUUAAAUAUUCCAUGUAUAUUUAGACUUGGUUUUGAGUGCCUUACCUAAUACCUGUACCAAAGGUGCACAUUAAGCAAUCCAAACAUCUCUUGAAAAAUACAUCUGGUAUCCGGUAUUUUGGCUACAUGUAACCAAAUAUAUGCAGAUCAACACACAUGUAUUGCAUUUGGUUACAAUUUAGGUUUUAGUUUUAGACAAUGUUAAUGUAUUUAUUGUAUUUCGUUAUAGUGUAGAGUUGAUGUAUGGGUAUUGUAAUUUAUUUGGUUAUAUGUAAAUGAUAGGAAAAUGACAUAAAAGCCCUUAAGUUUUCAUAAAAAUAUCGGUUUUACCCUUUAACGUGUUUUAUGUCCAGUAAAACUCGAAGUUUUGUUUGAUUUGUUCAUUUUUACCCUUGUAGUCGGUUUCCAGGUAACCUACCGGUUACCUAAUGCCAGUAAAGCCCUUAAAUUUUCAAAAAUGUUUGGAUUUACCCUUACGUUUUUCGAAAAUAUUCGGAUUUACCCUUACCUUGAUUGUUAUUUUGAUUAUUAUUAUUAUUAUUAUAAUAACAAUCAAUGCAAGGGUAAAUCCGAACAUUUUUGAAAAACUUAAAGGUAAAUCCGAACAUUUUUGAAAAUUCAAGGGCUUUACUGGCAUUAGGUAACCGGUGGGUUACUUGGAAACCGGCUACAAGGGUAAAAAUAAACAAAUCAAACAAAACUUCUGGCUUUACUAGACAUAAAACACAUCCAAGGGUAAAACCGAUAUUUUUGUGAAAACUUAAGGGCUGUUAUGUCAUUUUACUUAAAUGAAGAUAUUUCCUUAUUUAUUUUUGUUGUUAUAUGUUUUUCCAAAAUGAUUAUUAUGUGUUGUUUUUGUUUCUUUUGCAUACAAUGUAUUUGCUUAUAUAUUAUUAUAAUGCAUUUUGUUAAUUCAUUAUCCAAAUGAUAAAUAGAUAAUACUAUUGGAAACUAAGCUUGGAUUUACCACAAUAAUAAAACAAUAGUUAUCUUACUCUCGAACGAUCAAGUCUAGAAUCACGUACUAGCAUCGCGUAUUCUUGAAUGACGUGUUAUAGAAUAAGUGGUUCCAAAAUGGUUUGUUACCAAAAUCUAACAAAUCUGGAAUGCUUUGUUUUUUACUAAAAAAAAGUUUGAAAUCUAAUGAAUGAUCAAUAGAUAAUACUAUUGGAAACUAACAAAUGAUAAAGAUAAAAUCUAACAAAUGAUCAAUAGAUAAUACUAUUGGAAACUAAGCUCGGAUUUACUACAAUCAUAAAAUAAUAGUUAUCUUACUCUCGAACGAUCAACUCUAGAAUCACGUACUAGCAUCGCGUAUUCUGGAAUGACGUGUUAUAGAAUAGGUGGUUCCAAAAUGGUUUGGUACCAAAAUCUAACAAAUUUGGAAUACUUUGUUUUUUACUAAAAAAAAAGUUUGAAAUCUAAUGAAUAAUUUCAGACUUAUCAUUACGAAGUCCAAAAUCUUUCAAAAACAAGUCCAAAAUGACAAAAUGUGAGUUGUAGGUUUUGUCUUCUUAUAAGUCUUUGUUGCAUGUUAGUGAUUUUGUUGAAAGUGGCAUCACUUCAUAUUUUAGAUACAAGUCCAGAAUAAGUAUUUACGACAAAAUGGUUAUUUUUGCAAAACAUAAAAAAAUUGGCUAUUUUCGUGAAACACCUCAUUUAUUAAGUGCUUAGUUUAAUCAAAAACAUAUUGUGUGGUUUGUAAGAUAUAACACUAAAAACGUUUUAGUAUCUUUAGCAAUGAGAAAAUGACUUAGGAGGGUAACUACCUUUUAUCCGUGUUCACAUAUUGGUAACUUCUUUUUUGUACAUAAUAAAGCAACUAACUUGUUUUAACUGUUUAAAUUACACCAAUAUUACCGGCUAAUACCUGUUUUAACCGGUAACUCAAAGGAAAAAUGACUUAGGAGGGUAACUACCUCUUAUCCGUGUUCACAUGUUGGCAACUUCUUAUUUUUGUACAUAAGAAAGCAACUAACUUGUUUUAACUGUGUAACAUCCCAAAAAUCAUGACCAAAAAUUUCGUUUUUAAUUUAAUACUAAAACCAUAAUUGUCAAACCAUUAAUUUAAUACUCCGACAUCGGGCCCCGCCCGGCUUCAGGCCCUGCCUAGCAUCGAGCCUCGCUCGGUAUACAGGUCUAUCUCUCUUAGGCCCCGCCUGUCUCCGGGCCCCGCUCACUAAACACAUACAAUCAAUAAAGAAACAUACUCUACUAUAUCCCUGUCCUAAGAAACAUACUCUGCUAAUAAUGAGAUACGGAACAUCGUCCGUACUCAGCUAAUGAUGAGAUAUGGGACCUCACCCACACUCACCUCCUUACCAGGCACAUACAAGUAUCACAAAGACAACAAGUAUAAUCUAACAUGCAAACAUUCCUCGGGCACCCGCCCGACAUCGGACCUUGGUCUAGAAUAACAUACUAGCAUACAAUGUCUGGGGCUAACCCCCAGAUAUUCCUACUCAUAUACUACAUGGGUUGACAUUGUGGCCUUAGACCCAUUCACACAGUGAGGAGACUCACCUUGCACUGCUGAAGCCCUGGUUGGAACUAGUUGAGUACGGACGAUGUUUCGUAUCUCAUUAUUAGCAGAGUAUGUUUCUUAGGACAGGGAUACGGUAGAGUAUGUUUCUUUAUAUGUUACCAUGUUAUAUGAUUGCAUGUGUUUAGUGGGUGAGGCCUAAGAGAGACAGAUCUGUAUACCGAGCGGGGUUCGAUGCCAGACGGGGCCUGAUGCCGGGCGGGGCCCGAUGCCGGAGUAUUAAAUUAAUGGUUUGACAAUUAUGGUUUUAGUAUUAAAUUAAAAACAAAAUUUUUGUUCAUGAUUUUUGGAUAUUACACUGUUAAAACAAGUUAGUUGCUUUCUUAUGUACAAAAAAUAAGAAGUUGUCAAUAUGUGAACACGGAUAAGAGGUAGUUACCCUCCUAAGUCAUUUUCCCUUUGAGUUACCGGUUAAAACAGGUAUUAACCGGUAAUAUUGGUGUAAUUUAAACAGUUAAAACAAGUUAGUUGCUUUAUUAUGUACAAAAAUUAAAAAAAAAAGUUGUCAAUAUAUGAACACGAAUAAGAGGUAGUUACCUUCCUAAGUCAUUUUCCCCUUUAGCAAUUUAUUUUCAUUUAUUUGUUUAUUAUAUGGUAUUAGAUUUAUUUAUUUCUAUUGUAGCACCCUUAUAUAAAAUGUGUGUCGAUCAUCCAAAUAUAAAACAAUUCAUUAUUAUUAUUCUAUAAAUUUAUAAAAUACAAUUCUAUAAUAUGGUUGGUUUUUCGAAACAAAAAAUUCUGAAAAAAAUGAUUGCAACAGAAAAUGGAAAUAAAAUGGUACGAAGAACCUUGCUAUGUGUUUGCGUUUAGACUUUUAGACAAAAGAAAAGUUGUUUUCUUCACAAAAUUGCAAUCAAGUUUCAUUCUAAAACAUGUGAUAUUUUAAUUGUGUUUAGGGAAGUGUUUGAUAGCAAGUGUUUGAGAGCUUCUAACUUUUCAGAUUUUAACAAAAAAAAUUCAAUUUAACUGAAAAGUAUUGUUUGGGAGUAGUUAAAUUUUUAGUUUAAAAAAAACUCCAAAUUCAAAAAGUACUUCAUGUAGCAUUUAAAAACUAUUUUUUAAAAAAUUAAUUUCCAAAAUUGCCUUUAUAAUAUAUUUAUAUAUUUAUUUUUUUUAUACAAUUGUCAAUUUAUGUAAUUAUAUAGAUUUCAAAAAAUUUUGAAUACUUUUGUCAAAAAUUCAUAAAAGAAAUGAAAGAUACAUGCUACCGGUUUUAAACUUUUAGUUUCUAUGACAACCCGAAAUUCAUUUCUUGUACAAUCAUUCAAUUCAGUUAAAGUCAGAUUUGUUUCUGCUAACUUUUAGCACUGCUUAGAGUCUGUUUGAGCAUUUUAAGCCUAGUAACCACCAUAAGGAAUGAUAACAAGUGUAUUCUAGAGUUCAGUACACUGCAUAUAGCCGGAAAACUCCAAGGAUUGGAGUUUACGACCGUAAACUAGAGUUUACGGCCGUAAACUCUUGGUUGGCCGAGAACUCCCCCAUAUAAAUGAUAUUCCUUCACUUUUCUUCAUNUCCAACACUUUUACCAUUUCCAAGCCAAGAAAUCAGGUUUUGCUCUCAACUAUCAUUAAGAAUCUUCACUUUUCUUCCAAAAAUGUAAGUUUUUUUAUCCCUUGUCUAGUUGAUACAUCUUCUUAUCUAGCAUUACCCCCUUGAUUCAAUCCACUAACUUCAUCUUUUGGGGUUAGAUCUUCAAGAACACAUUUGUGUUUUGGUCCAAAAUCGCCCUUUUAAGCUUCUAUAUCGUAAGUAUUACUUCCCUAUACUCGAUAUCUAGUUGAAUCACAUGCUAAACACCCUGAAAUCGUCCAUUCACAAGAACAAGAGGUGUUUACGGCCAAGAGCAUCUCCUUUGGCUGUAAACCCUAGUUUGAGGUGUAUAUGAGCCUUAAACUCUUCCUAAGGCUUGGACUUGAGGCUAGAACCCUUCCUUGUGGUUUGUAAGACCUUAAAACACCCCCAUUGACACUUUUAAUCAUGAGUUUAUGGCUGUAAUCUCAUUGGCCGUAAACUCAUUGGCCGUAAACACAUGUGGUCGUGAACACUUGGCCGUAAACUCCAAGUGUGGCCGUAAACUCACCUUAUACGCAAUCCUUUAUGAUUUUUACCUUCCCAUUCAAGUGUACCCUAGUCCCUAAGGUGUUUCCCUUACCUGAUUAGUUGGAUAAACACUAAUUUUAUACAUAUAUGUGUCAUUAUAUACUAAAUAGGAUCCGUGUGUGUGUGCUCAAGACUUCACCUGACACUUAGCAUCCUAUACCACUCUUUCAUCUGAACCACUUAUCACAGGUGAGUUCAUACCCCUUAAUCUACCUUUUAAAUAAUUUUAAAUGCUUUUAUGAGGGGAAUACAAGUUGAAUCAUUAUAGUUAUUAUAUCAAUCGUAUGUGAUUAAUAACUAGAGCAAACAUAUAGAUUUCUUAUACUUUCAAAAUGUGUUAUCAAUCUUUAUCAAAUUCUUUUCAAACUAAAACUAUUUAUUCAAACUCUUUUACAUAUAUAUUGUCAACAAUCAUGUCUAUAUAGAUAUAGUUAUAUAAGUAAGGUUGAAAAGACUUAGGACUGAUAACUCACUUUAUUUCCUGUUCCUUGUUUGGUUGUGGACUUAGAGUAUUCGGUUGUUUGUCUGAGUUUCGUUUGAACCUUAGUUAUAUAUCAUGUAUAUGUAUAUAGAUAUAAAAGCUUUUAUUUCAGUUCAAUACACAAGCAGUCAUUCAAACAACAUUACUAGUAAACUAUAAUAGGUAUAGUUUAAGAGGUUACUACUCACUAUUACUGGUACAAUGAAACAUACCAGAUUCAGUUCAUUUAUGAAUCAGUACAAACUUACUAAUAUGAGAGACAUAAAGAACAUAUUAUGACGAGAGACUAAGAGAGCAUACACUAUACUAUACAAGAGAACAUAUUAUACGCUAGUACAUAGAGAAUAUUCAAUACACUAUAAUAUACUCUACAAACACUAGAAUACGAUAACUAGAAUGUGAAAUACUACUUCAUGAUACGACAAUACAUUGUUGUAUCACAUUGUAUCCAGAGUCUCCUGGAGGGAGAGCGGGCAUCGUGUGUAUAGUUCUAUACGGGACAGACACUCCCAUACCCCGAUUGCUAGCUGCAGUCCCAGCCGGUAAGCCCAAGGGGUGACAAAAUGUCACCUCACUAUUUUAUGACACCGAAAGGGUUGUCAGGUAUUCAACCGUCAAUCAGCAUGGUUACAAACUAAUUCACAUCUAAACCUUUAAUUAACCAAAUAGGAAUUAAAGCCAAUAAGACUGUCCAAGGAGUAUGGUACAUUUAAUACGACCUUGAGUCUUCAUUUUUAUCAUUUCACAGUCAGUAGUUUCACUGAUGAGAUAGAACACUUUUUUUUUUUCCUAAUAGAUGAUAGCAAUAAGUGGGAGAAAACAUAUUUUUACACAGUAACAAAGUACUACCAUAUUUGCCCUACUAUUACAAGUACAUAUGUAAACAUUACAUUUUUAUACAAAAACAAACAUGUAAAACAGUCGAGCCUCGGGUAGAAGGCUACAUUAUUUAUAAGCAGGAAAUAUAGGAUUUUUCGGGAAAAAUUUACAAACUUUUCAAGGUUUCAAAUACAAACAUUUCGAGGUUUUUAACUACUAAGUGACACUAAAUACUUAUGAACUCACCAACAUUUUAUGUUGAUCCUCUCUUUCAAAAUAACUUGUAUUCUUAGGGAACCAGUAAGACAGGUACACCCAUGCAGCUUUUGAAGGACGGAGUGGAUCCAAGACUCGUCUUUUGAUUGUACAUUUUGGUGUCAUUUAAACCUUACAAAAGAACACACAUGUAUUUAACUAUUCUAUUAAUGCAAUGGAUUUUGUUGCUUGUUUUUACUAUUAUGCAUUGUUAUGAUACUGCACAUGACGUCCUCCACCCCCGAAUUUUUCCGCCAAUUCGGUUUGGGGGUGUGACAGUUUUGAGCUAAAAACUGAGCUAAAAACUAAAUAUGUAAAAACAUACAUUUAGUUUAGAAGGUGGACAAG